Long non-coding RNA from Daktulosphaira vitifoliae (grape phylloxera), 666 nucleotides. RefSeq lists it as uncharacterized. Lineage: Eukaryota; Metazoa; Arthropoda; Insecta; Hemiptera; Phylloxeridae. The record is from RefSeq and is a predicted model, not a curated record. The transcript is spliced from 3 exons.
CUUCAAGUGUCUAGAAUUAAAGGUAUGUAUUGGCCAAAAUUAGGAUUUUUCAACUAUUUUGCCCUUAUGUAUCAAAUAUUUUUUAGUGUGAAAAUUAUGUAGCAUCAAUUAUAUUGAAAGAUAUAUUGCUUUAAAGAGAAAUAAUGGUUUUUCAUUAGCUCGAAUGAAAAUUUAACUUUGCUCUCCUAAAAGGUCAUUGAUAUAAAUAUUGCACCAAGACUUAAACAUGAUUUAUAAUACACUUUCAAAGACAGGCCAUCAUCCUUUGUUUAACUACAUCAAAACUUUUCAUUGGUCCAGACCUCUUUGAAAAAAUACUAACAUUAUCUUUUAAAAAAUCAUCACACGCUUCCAUCUGCUAAAGCUUUGGAUCUAAUACAGAAACUCUUUGUCAUUGAUCCAUACGAUAGAUUAAAUUUUCAUCGUAUUAUUGGAUAUCCUUGGUUAAAAGAUAGUAGAAUGAAAAUCGUUGUUUAUGAUUUACUAAGAAAAUCUCAAUGUAAGAUAUCUAAUCAAAAUAACAAAGAAGAUGAGAUUUCUUCAAUAACUCUUUAUUUACAAGGAAAAAAAUACUUUAAUUGUUUAAAAGUUUUUGUAACUAUAAUUCUCAUUAUGCCUACAAUUGGUCAAUGUCUAUUAGUUUGAUCUAAAAUUUAUGUUUUAAGU